RNAcentral lists this ribosomal RNA (468 nucleotides) under uncultured bacterium. RNAcentral's name for it is "partial 16S ribosomal RNA". It matches the Rfam family "Bacterial small subunit ribosomal RNA", at positions 28 to 507 of the family's 1533-position model. The record is from RNAcentral.
GACGAACGCUGGCGGCGUGCUUAACACAUGCAAGUCGAACGGAAAGGCCCUGCUUUUGUGGGGUGCUCGAGUGGCGAAGGGGUGAGUAACACGUGAGUAACCUGCCCUUGACGUUGGGAUAACUUCAGGAAACUGGGGCUCAUACGGGAUAGGAGCUCCUGCUGCAUGGUGGGGGUGGGAAAGUUUCGGCGGUUGGGGAGGGACUCGCGGCUUAUCAGCUUGGUGGUGUGGUAGUGGAUUACCAAGGCUUUGACGGGUAGCAGGCCUGGGAGGGUGACCGGCCCCAUCGGGCCGGGGCUACGGCCCAGACUCCUCCGGGAGGCAGCAGUGGGGUAUGUUGCACAAUGGGCGGAAGCCUGAUGCAGCCACGCCGCGUCCGGGAUGACGGCCUUCGGGUUGUAAAGCGCUUUCGCCUGUGCCGAAGCGUGAGUGACGGUAACGGGUAAAGAAGCACCGGCUAACUACGUG